RNAcentral lists this ribosomal RNA (305 nucleotides) under uncultured bacterium. RNAcentral's name for it is "bacterial SSU rRNA". It matches the Rfam family "Bacterial small subunit ribosomal RNA", at positions 333 to 636 of the family's 1533-position model. The record is from RNAcentral.
GUAAUCCUACGGGACGCAGCAGUGAGGAAUAUUGGUCAAUGGGCGCGAGCCUGAACCAGCCAAGUCGCGUGAGGGAAGACGGUCCUAUGGAUUGUAAACCUCUUUUGUCGGGGAGCAAAAGACGCCACGCGUGGCGUUCCGAGAGUACCCGAAGAAAAAGCAUCGGCUAACUCCGUGCCAGCAGGCGAGGUAAUACGGAGGAUGCGAGCGUUAUCCGGAUUGAUUGGGUUUAAAGGGUGCGCAGGCGGAAGAUCAAGUCAGCGGUAAAAUUGAGAGGCUCAAACUCUUCGAGCCGUUGAAACUGG